UCAGAAAUGGACACUGAAUCUAAUAAUAACCCAACCCAGCAACUUCCAUCGUACCCUGGUCCUCAACAGCCUGCCGAUCAACUCAAAGUACAGCAUGGUCUAACUGGAUCCCCUGUCAUUAACAUCAACAACAACUCAUUACAACCCAACUCCCAAAUACUACUAAAAAGAAAGGGCUCUUUUUCAUUUUCAUGUUUAUUUGGAUCAAAAAUGGAGACUGAAUCACCAGCCACGAGCCAGCCUCAGAAGUUACCGCAUGUAUUGACUGAAGUACCUAUCAUCAAUAUUAUAAGCAACACAUUGGGAGGUACAGCAAAAAUAGUAGUCGGCUGCAUUUGCCGCAAACAUACUCGAGAAGAAAGCAAACCUUCUAUGAGCAUUGUCUCAUGUGUACUUGGAUCAAAACUGGACAAUGAAUCUUACAAUGAUGUCUUUCGAAAACUGAAUCAAAAACCUAUCGUUAAUAUCCAGGGCAAUUUGUUGUCACCCGAAGCUCAAAUAAUUAUCUGUGACGCUUCUGGCAUCCAUAUCAUAAAAGUGAAUGGGAAACCUUCUAAGAGUACUUAUUCCUUCGCCAUUUUUUCAUGUUUAAUUGGAUGCUGGCCGAGCGUAUAUUUUCCAUACUGUGCGAAAACUCGUUACAACUCGGGAAAAUAUUGUUCUAAUUGAUAUUCAUAUAAUUUAGUUCAUACUUAGAUGUUUAGGGUUAGUUUAAGUGAAACAUACAUGCAUACAUACUGAUGUUUUGAUGUUGCUGGUUGUAUUACUGCAUCAAAUUAUUAAAGUUAUGCUCCUCGACAACUUUAUACAAUUCGUAUUGGUAAUAAUCACUGUAUAAGUUUACGCAUUAGUAGCAUUUCGAUAAAAUACUUUAUUGAAAAAAUAACAUUAAUCACUUUCUUGUCUAGAUUAUAGUUUCAUUAUAAUACUUAUGUAUAUAAUUAUAAUCUAAUUGCUUUAUAAAAUGAAUUUGAGCAAUUUAAGCUAUUGAUAAGAUGUAUUCUUGAUUUGUUUAACAAAAAUAAUAUUAUUAUUCCUAAAAGCAUUGGAAAUUACAUUUUGCCAUCUGUGCUACUUGUUUUUAUAAUAAAUAGAUAUAAAGACA
Molecule: long non-coding RNA, 1105 nt
Organism: Leptidea sinapis
Lineage: Eukaryota; Metazoa; Arthropoda; Insecta; Lepidoptera; Pieridae
Exons: 4
Source: RefSeq, a predicted model, not a curated record